Molecule: ribosomal RNA, 503 nt
Filed under: uncultured bacterium
Lineage: Bacteria
Description: SSU rRNA
Rfam family: Bacterial small subunit ribosomal RNA
Source: RNAcentral
AGAUUGAACGCUGGCGGCGUGCCUAACACAUGCAAGUCGAGCGGUAACAGGUGUAGCAAUACAUGCUGACGAGCGGCGAACGGGUGAGUAAUGCUUUGGAAUCUUCCCAGUAGUGGGGAAUAACCAGUCGAAAGAUUGGCUAAUACCGCAUACGUCUGUAAAGGGAAAGCGGGGGCUCGUAAGACCUCGCGCUAUUGGAUGAGCCAAAGUCGGAUUAGCUAGUUGGUGGGGUAAUGGCCUACCAAGGCGACAAUCCGUAGCUGGUCUGAGAGGACGACCAGCCACACCGGAACUGAGACACGGUCCGGACUCCUACGGGAGGCAGCAGUGGGGAAUAUUGGACAAUGGGGGAAACCCUGAUCCAGCGACGCCGCGUGUGUGAAGAAGGCCUGCGGGUUGUAAAGCACUUUUAGUGGGGACAAAAAGCUACGGACUAACACUCUGUGGUCUUGAUUUAACCCAAAGAAAAGCACCGGCUAACUCUGUGCCAGCAGCCGCGGUAA